Molecule: long non-coding RNA, 887 nt
Organism: Felis catus (domestic cat)
Lineage: Eukaryota; Metazoa; Chordata; Mammalia; Carnivora; Felidae
Exons: 5
Source: RefSeq, a predicted model, not a curated record
UCAAGAAGACAAUAAAAUAAAUUCUAGCUACCUCAGAGCAUCCUAGAUAACUUCUGUUCAUCUUCCAAAUUCUCUGUCUACCCUUCAUCACCCUACUUUAGUCUCCCAAGACCUUUAUGACCUCUAUUUAUGACAUCAAGAGGCUACCUUCCGAUCUAGCUUCUAGCUGAAUUCAACAAAUGAGAGAUUCCAACACAAGACCAUAGAGUAAGAAAACGAGAGCAGGAAUUUAUUCCCCUAGCUUUCUCUUUGCCACAUUACCACAGGUCACCUAUGCCAUUCCACCAAAGGCGUGGCUCCUGUCAGGUGGCCCAAUCUUGAAGAAUGGAUUCACCUGUGGGUCAACUAAUGAAAAGCAAAAUCCUCCAAGUCAAGUCCUUGUCUUCCAGGAGGUCAGGAAAAAAAUCUCUUCUAAAGAAUCAUUCUUAGAUCUGAGACAUAGAAGAUGAAUAGUAUCUCGUUCAGGCAAAGCAUUUGUGAAGGUCCAGAGGUGAGAAGAUACUUUGCAUUUUCAUCAAAACUGAAGCAGCUGAGGCUCACUGAGCAGCAGGAAAGAAAGGAAACAGGGGUCUAUCUGUAUGAAAGGUUCAUACUGUUCUCGUGCCUCCAAAAUGGGAUUUUCUCUACUUAUUACCAUGUCUUCAAGCUUGCGGAACAGCUCACGGAAAAACCCUCUCUCUGGACAUGUUUGGGCCAGAUUCAAGAUCAACUCAAGUCACCUUGAGCUGGAGGUCCCCCGGGCAAGUCACUGAAUUUUCCUCAGCCCCCAUCCUCCUCUACAAAAUAGAUACUGUUGAACAAUACGAGCCUGAACUGUGUUGGGCCACUUAUAUGUGGAUAUUUUUCAAUAAAUUCAGUAAAGUACUACAAAUGUAUGUUCUCUUCCU